This 1020-nucleotide ribosomal RNA is filed under the name Salmonella enterica subsp. enterica serovar Agona. Its description in RNAcentral is "bacterial SSU rRNA". It matches the Rfam family "Bacterial small subunit ribosomal RNA", at positions 110 to 1126 of the family's 1533-position model. The record is from RNAcentral. Lineage: Bacteria; Pseudomonadati; Pseudomonadota; Gammaproteobacteria; Enterobacterales; Enterobacteriaceae.
GUAAUGUCUGGGAAACUGCCUGAUGGAGGGGGAUAACUACUGGAAACGGUGGCUAAUACCGCAUAACGUCGCAAGACCAAAGAGGGGGACCUUCGGGCCUCUUGCCAUCAGAUGUGCCCAGAUGGGAUUAGCUUGUUGGUGAGGUAACGGCUCACCAAGGCGACGAUCCCUAGCUGGUCUGAGAGGAUGACCAGCCACACUGGAACUGAGACACGGUCCAGACUCCUACGGGAGGCAGCAGUGGGGAAUAUUGCACAAUGGGCGCAAGCCUGAUGCAGCCAUGCCGCGUGUAUGAAGAAGGCCUUCGGGUUGUAAAGUACUUUCAGCGGGGAGGAAGGUGUUGUGGUUAAUAACCGCAGCAAUUGACGUUACCCGCAGAAGAAGCACCGGCUAACUCCGUGCCAGCAGCCGCGGUAAUACGGAGGGUGCAAGCGUUAAUCGGAAUUACUGGGCGUAAAGCGCACGCAGGCGGUCUGUCAAGUCGGAUGUGAAAUCCCCGGGCUCAACCUGGGAACUGCAUUCGAAACUGGCAGGCUUGAGUCUUGUAGAGGGGGGUAGAAUUCCAGGUGUAGCGGUGAAAUGCGUAGAGAUCUGGAGGAAUACCGGUGGCGAAGGCGGCCCCCUGGACAAAGACUGACGCUCAGGUGCGAAAGCGUGGGGAGCAAACAGGAUUAGAUACCCUGGUAGUCCACGCCGUAAACGAUGUCUACUUGGAGGUUGUGCCCUUGAGGUGUGGCUUCCGGAGCUAACGCGUUAAGUAGACCGCCUGGGGAGUACGGCCGCAAGGUUAAAACUCAAAUGAAUUGACGGGGGCCCGCACAAGCGGUGGAGCAUGUGGUUUAAUUCGAUGCAACGCGAAGAACCUUACCUGGUCUUGACAUCCACGGAAGUUUUCAGAGAUGAGAAUGUGCCUUCGGGAACCGUGAGACAGGUGCUGCAUGGCUGUCGUCAGCUCGUGUUGUGAAAUGUUGGGUUAAGUCCCGCAACGAGCGCAACCCUUAUCCUUUGUUGCCAGCGAUU